AUACGGAGGAUCCAAGCGUUGUCCGGAUUUAUUGGGUUUAAAGGGUGCGUAGGCGGAUCUUUAAGUCAGUGGUGAAAGCCUGCAGCUUAACUGUAGAACAGCCAUUGAAACUGAAGAUCUUGAAUUUGGUUAAAGUAGGCGGAAUGUAUCAUGUAGCGGUGAAAUGCUUAGAUAUGAUACAGAACACCGAUAGCGAAGGCAGCUUGCUGAACCAAUAUUGACGCUGAGGCACGAAAGCGUGGGGAGC
RNAcentral lists this ribosomal RNA (247 nucleotides) under uncultured bacterium. Its description in RNAcentral is "partial 16S ribosomal RNA". It matches the Rfam family "Bacterial small subunit ribosomal RNA", at positions 523 to 769 of the family's 1533-position model. The record is from RNAcentral.